CAUUCAAACACACGAGUCGAUGGGGGUUA
RNAcentral lists this non-coding RNA (29 nucleotides) under Rattus norvegicus (Norway rat). Lineage: Eukaryota; Metazoa; Chordata; Mammalia; Rodentia; Muridae. The record is from RNAcentral.